RNAcentral lists this ribosomal RNA (407 nucleotides) under uncultured bacterium. RNAcentral describes it as "partial 16S ribosomal RNA". It matches the Rfam family "Bacterial small subunit ribosomal RNA", at positions 30 to 526 of the family's 1533-position model. The record is from RNAcentral.
AUUGAACGCUAGCGGGAUGCCUUACACAUGCAAGUCGAACGGAGUGGCGAACGGGUGAGUAAUGUAUCUGAACGUGCCCAGUCGCGGGGGAUAACUACGCGAAAGCGUAGCUAAUACCGCAUACUAUUUGAGCGGCCGAUAUAGGAUUAGCUAGUUGGUGGGGUAACGGCUCCCGAAGGGGACGAUCCCUAGCUGGUUUGGGAGGACGACCAGCCACACUGGGACUGAGACACGGCCAAGAGUCCUACGGGAGGCAGCAGGGGGGAAUUUUGGAAAAUGGGGGAAACCCUGAUACAGCCAUCCCGCGUGUGCGAUGAAGGCCUUCGGGUUGUAAAGCACUUUUGGCAGGAAAGCGGUACCUGCAGAAUAAGCACCGGCUAACUACGUGCCAGCAGCCGCGGUAAUUC